RNAcentral lists this ribosomal RNA (505 nucleotides) under uncultured bacterium. RNAcentral's name for it is "partial 16S ribosomal RNA". It matches the Rfam family "Bacterial small subunit ribosomal RNA", at positions 28 to 507 of the family's 1533-position model. The record is from RNAcentral.
GACGAACGCUGGCGGCGUGCCUAAUACAUGCAAGUAGAACGCACAGUUUAUACCGUAGCUUGCUACACCAUAAACUGUGAGUUGCGAACGGGUGAGUAACGCGUAGGUAACCUGCCUGGUAGCGGGGGAUAACUAUUGGAAACGAUAGCUAAUACUGCAUAAUAUUGAUUAUUGCAUGAUAAUUGAUUGAAAGAUGCUAUUGCAUCACUACCAGAUGGACCUGCGUUGUAUUAGCUAGUAGGUGAGGUAACGGCUCACCUAGGCGACGAUACAUAGCCGACCUGAGAGGGUGAUCGGCCACACUGGGACUGAGACACGGCCCAGACUCCUACGGGAGGCAGCAGUAGGGAAUCUUCGGCAAUGGACGAAAGUCUGACCGAGCAACGCCGCGUGAGUGAAGAAGGUUUUCGGAUCGUAAAGCUCUGUUGUAAGAGAAGAACGGGUGUGAGAGUGGAAAGUUCACACUGUGACGGUAUCUUACCAGAAAGGGACGGCUAACUACGUG